Molecule: ribosomal RNA, 423 nt
Filed under: uncultured bacterium
Lineage: Bacteria
Description: partial 16S ribosomal RNA
Rfam family: Bacterial small subunit ribosomal RNA
Source: RNAcentral
AAUAUUGGGCAAUGGGCGGAAGCCUGACCCAGCCACGCCGCGUGAGUGAUGAAGGCCUUCGGGUUGUAAAGCCCUUUGGGGGGGGAAGAAAAAUCCGGGUUCGAAGAGGGCCUGGACUUGACGGUACUUCCUUAGCAAGCCGCGGCUAACUCGUUGCCAGCAGCCGCGGUAAGACAGAGGGUGCAAACGUUGCUCGGAAUUACUGGGCGUAAAGGGCGCGUAGGCGGAUUUGGAAGUCGGGUGUGAAAUCCCUGGGCUCAACCUAGGAACUGCAUUCGAAACUCCAAGUCUAGAGUGACGGAGAGGAGAGCGGAAUUCCCGGUGUAGAGGUGAAAUUCGUAGAUAUCGGGAGGAACACCAGAGGCGAAGGCGGCUUUCUGGACGUCCACUGACGCUGAGGCGCGAAAGCGUGGGGAGCAAACA